UACGGAGGGUGCAAACGUUGCUCGGAAUCAUUGGGCGUAAAGCGCACGUAGGCGGCCGAGAAAGUUGGAUGUGAAAGCCCUGGGCUCAACCCAGGAAGUGCAUCCAAAACUUCUCGGCUUGAGUCCCGGAGGGGCCCAGGGAAUUCCCGGUGUAGAGGUGAAAUUCGUAGAUAUCGGGAGGAACACCAGUGGCGAAGGCGCUGGGCUGGACGGGAACUGACGCUGAGGUGCGAAAGCGUGGGGAGCAAACAGG
RNAcentral lists this unclassified non-coding RNA (253 nucleotides) under uncultured Myxococcales bacterium. RNAcentral describes it as "contains 16S-23S intergenic spacer region". It matches the Rfam family "Bacterial small subunit ribosomal RNA", at positions 524 to 776 of the family's 1533-position model. Lineage: Bacteria; Pseudomonadati; Myxococcota; Myxococcia; Myxococcales. The record is from RNAcentral.